Molecule: ribosomal RNA, 330 nt
Filed under: uncultured bacterium
Lineage: Bacteria
Description: bacterial SSU rRNA
Rfam family: Bacterial small subunit ribosomal RNA
Source: RNAcentral
CGUGCAGGCGGCUGCCAAAGUCGGGUGUGAAAGCCUUGAGCUCAACUCAAGAAAUGCACUCGAUACUUGGCGGCUAGAGGACCGGAGAGGAUAGUGGAAUUCCCAGUGUAGUGGUGAAAUACGUAGAGAUUGGGAAGAACACCAGUGGCGAAGGCGGCUAUCUGGACGGUUUCUGACGCUGAGACGCGAAAGCGUGGGGAGCAAACAGGAUUAGAUACCCUGGUAGUCCACGCCGUAAACGAUGGGUGCUAGACGUUGGCGAGCUUGCUCGUCAGUGUCGCAGCUAACGCGUUAAGCACCCCGCCUGGGGAGUACGGCCGCAAGGUUGAA